GAUCCUGGCUCAGGACGAACGCUGGCGGCGCGCCUAACACAUGCAAGUCGAACGGAGCUGAGAGGAGCUUGCUUUUCUUAGCUUAGUGGCGAACGGGUGAGUAACGCGUGAGUAACCUGCCCUGGAGUGGGGGACAACAGUUGGAAACGACUGCUAAUACCGCAUAAGCCCACGGCCCGGCAUCGGGCUGAGGGAAAAGGAUUUAUUCGCUUCAGGAUGGACUCGCGUCCAAUUAGCUAGUUGGUGAGG
This 249-nucleotide ribosomal RNA is filed under the name uncultured bacterium. Its description in RNAcentral is "partial 16S ribosomal RNA". It matches the Rfam family "Bacterial small subunit ribosomal RNA", at positions 15 to 257 of the family's 1533-position model. The record is from RNAcentral.